This 2899-nucleotide ribosomal RNA is filed under the name Escherichia coli TW09109. RNAcentral describes it as "bacterial LSU rRNA". It matches the Rfam family "Bacterial large subunit ribosomal RNA". The record is from RNAcentral. Lineage: Bacteria; Pseudomonadati; Pseudomonadota; Gammaproteobacteria; Enterobacterales; Enterobacteriaceae.
UAAGCGACUAAGCGUACACGGUGGAUGCCCUGGCAGUCAGAGGCGAUGAAGGACGUGCUAAUCUGCGAUAAGCGUCGGUAAGGUGAUAUGAACCGUUAUAACCGGCGAUUUCCGAAUGGGGAAACCCAGUGUGUUUCGACACACUAUCAUUAACUGAAUCCAUAGGUUAAUGAGGCGAACCGGGGGAACUGAAACAUCUAAGUACCCCGAGGAAAAGAAAUCAACCGAGAUUCCCCCAGUAGCGGCGAGCGAACGGGGAGCAGCCCAGAGCCUGAAUCAGUGUGUGUGUUAGUGGAAGCGUCUGGAAAGGCGCGCGAUACAGGGUGACAGCCCCGUACACAAAAAUGCACAUACUGUGAGCUCGAUGAGUAGGGCGGGACACGUGGUAUCCUGUCUGAAUAUGGGGGGACCAUCCUCCAAGGCUAAAUACUCCUGACUGACCGAUAGUGAACCAGUACCGUGAGGGAAAGGCGAAAAGAACCCCGGCGAGGGGAGUGAAAAAGAACCUGAAACCGUGUACGUACAAGCAGUGGGAGCCUCUUUUAUGGGGUGACUGCGUACCUUUUGUAUAAUGGGUCAGCGACUUAUAUUCUGUAGCAAGGUUAACCGAAUAGGGGAGCCGAAGGGAAACCGAGUCUUAACCGGGCGUUAAGUUGCAGGGUAUAGACCCGAAACCCGGUGAUCUAGCCAUGGGCAGGUUGAAGGUUGGGUAACACUAACUGGAGGACCGAACCGACUAAUGUUGAAAAAUUAGCGGAUGACUUGUGGCUGGGGGUGAAAGGCCAAUCAAACCCGGAGAUAGCUGGUUCUCCCCGAAAGCUAUUUAGGUAGCGCCUCGUGAAUUCAUCUCCGGGGGUAGAGCACUGUUUCGGCAAGGGGGUCAUCCCGACUUACCAACCCGAUGCAAACUGCGAGUACCGGAGAAUGUUAUCACGGGAGACACACGGCGGGUGCUAACGUCCGUCGUGAAGAGGGAAACAACCCAGACCGCCAGCUAAGGUCCCAAAGUCAUGGUUAAGUGGGAAACGAUGUGGGAAGGCCCAGACAGCCAGGAUGUUGGCUUAGAAGCAGCCAUCAUUUAAAGAAAGCGUAAUAGCUCACUGGUCGAGUCGGCCUGCGCGGAAGAUGUAACGGGGCUAAACCAUGCACCGAAGCUGCGGCAGCGACACUGUGCGUUGUUGGGUAGGGGAGCGUUCUGUAAGCCUGUGAAGGUGUACUGUGAGGUAUGCUGGAGGUAUCAGAAGUGCGAAUGCUGACAUAAGUAACGAUAAAGCGGGUGAAAAGCCCGCUCGCCGGAAGACCAAGGGUUCCUGUCCAACGUUAAUCGGGGCAGGGUGAGUCGACCCCUAAGGCGAGGCCGAAAGGCGUAGUCGAUGGGAAACAGGUUAAUAUUCCUGUACUUGGUGUUACUGCGAAGGGGGGACGGAGAAGGCUAUGUUGGCCGGGCGACGGUUGUCCCGGUUUAAGCGUGUAGGCUGGUUUUCCAGGCAAAUCCGGAAAAUCAAGGCUGAGGCGUGAUGACGAGGCACUACGGUGCUGAAGCAACAAAUGCCCUGCUUCCAGGAAAAGCCUCUAAGCAUCAGGUAACAUCAAAUCGUACCCCAAACCGACACAGGUGGUCAGGUAGAGAAUACCAAGGCGCUUGAGAGAACUCGGGUGAAGGAACUAGGCAAAAUGGUGCCGUAACUUCGGGAGAAGGCACGCUGAUAUGUAGGUGAAGUCCCUCGCGGAUGGAGCUGAAAUCAGUCGAAGAUACCAGCUGGCUGCAACUGUUUAUUAAAAACACAGCACUGUGCAAACACGAAAGUGGACGUAUACGGUGUGACGCCUGCCCGGUGCCGGAAGGUUAAUUGAUGGGGUCAGCGCAAGCGAAGCUCUUGAUCGAAGCCCCGGUAAACGGCGGCCGUAACUAUAACGGUCCUAAGGUAGCGAAAUUCCUUGUCGGGUAAGUUCCGACCUGCACGAAUGGCGUAAUGAUGGCCAGGCUGUCUCCACCCGAGACUCAGUGAAAUUGAACUCGCUGUGAAGAUGCAGUGUACCCGCGGCAAGACGGAAAGACCCCGUGAACCUUUACUAUAGCUUGACACUGAACAUUGAGCCUUGAUGUGUAGGAUAGGUGGGAGGCUUUGAAGUGUGGACGCCAGUCUGCAUGGAGCCGACCUUGAAAUACCACCCUUUAAUGUUUGAUGUUCUAACGUGGACCCGUGAUCCGGGUUGCGGACAGUGUCUGGUGGGUAGUUUGACUGGGGCGGUCUCCUCCUAAAGAGUAACGGAGGAGCACGAAGGUUGGCUAAUCCUGGUCGGACAUCAGGAGGUUAGUGCAAUGGCAUAAGCCAGCUUGACUGCGAGCGUGACGGCGCGAGCAGGUGCGAAAGCAGGUCAUAGUGAUCCGGUGGUUCUGAAUGGAAGGGCCAUCGCUCAACGGAUAAAAGGUACUCCGGGGAUAACAGGCUGAUACCGCCCAAGAGUUCAUAUCGACGGCGGUGUUUGGCACCUCGAUGUCGGCUCAUCACAUCCUGGGGCUGAAGUAGGUCCCAAGGGUAUGGCUGUUCGCCAUUUAAAGUGGUACGCGAGCUGGGUUUAGAACGUCGUGAGACAGUUCGGUCCCUAUCUGCCGUGGGCGCUGGAGAACUGAGGGGGGCUGCUCCUAGUACGAGAGGACCGGAGUGGACGCAUCACUGGUGUUCGGGUUGUCAUGCCAAUGGCACUGCCCGGUAGCUAAAUGCGGAAGAGAUAAGUGCUGAAAGCAUCUAAGCACGAAACUUGCCCCGAGAUGAGUUCUCCCUGACCCUUUAAGGGUCCUGAAGGAACGUUGAAGACGACGACGUUGAUAGGCCGGGUGUGUAAGCGCAGCGAUGCGUUGAGCUAACCGGUACUAAUGAACCGUGAGGCUUAACCU